AUUGAACGCUGGCGGCAGGCCUAACACAUGCAAGUCGAACGGUAACAGGAAGCAGCUUGCUGCUUUGCUGACGAGUGGCGGACGGGUGAGUAAUGUCUGGGAAACUGCCCGAUGGAGGGGGAUAACUACUGGAAACGGUAGCUAAUACCGCAUAACGUCGCAAGACCAAAGAGGGGGACCUUAGGGCCUCUUGCCAUCGGAUGUGCCCAGAUGGGAUUAGCUAGUAGGUGGGGUAACGGCUCACCUAGGCGACGAUCCCUAGCUGGUCUGAGAGGAUGACCAGCCACACUGGAACUGAGACACGUUCCAGACUCCUACGGGAGGCAGCAGUGGGGAAUAUUGCACAAUGGGCGCAAGCCUGAUGCAGCCAUGCCGCGUGUAUGAAGAAGGCCUUCGGGUUGUAAAGUACUUUCAGCGGGGAGGAAGGGAGUAAAGUUAAUACCUUUGCUCAUUGACGUUACCCGCAGAAGAAGCACCGGCUAACUCCGUG
This 490-nucleotide ribosomal RNA is filed under the name uncultured bacterium. RNAcentral's name for it is "partial 16S ribosomal RNA". It matches the Rfam family "Bacterial small subunit ribosomal RNA", at positions 30 to 507 of the family's 1533-position model. The record is from RNAcentral.